GUCUUUUUACCUCCAUAAAAAGAUCAGAUGUUUUUAUUACUACAUGUAAUAAAUGAGUCUCUGAAGGAGGUGAAGACCUCUGUAGAACCUCUGGAUCACCACUUCAUCACUACAUUAAGAGGAGCAUCGUGGUGCAAUGAGGUAUCACACUGGAUGGUGCGUUCAAUGUCACUGGGGUUUUCAUCAUUGAAUUGAACACGAUCAUAGCUGUGCACUGGUGUUAUUCUAUUGAUUAGUGUCAACAUGACAGCGGUGUCCCACUAUUCUCAUGUCUUUAUUGAUCACAUAGUGUCAGAAUCAGGGCUGUAUCCUGGUGGACACUAAAUGCAUUUUAUCCAUUGGUCUAAUUCAUGAAGCGUCGUCAGUCUGACUACUGUAACUCUCUCCUGCAGGUCUCCUGCUACCACCAUUCCACCUCUGCAGCUCAUCCACAAUGCAGCAGCUCCACUGCUCUUUAACCUUCCUAAGUCCUCUAAACAUGGUGCUCACGUACCGUGCUGUGAAUGGAUGGGGUCCAGCUUACAUCCAGGACCUGGUCCAACCCGACAUCCCGACCCGCACUCUCCGCUCUGCAUGUGAUAAACUGCUUGUUCCUCCUCACUGAGAGCAAAACACUCGACUAGAUCUCCACUCUUUGCUGUCCUGCUCCUAAAUGGUGGAAGGAGGUCUCUGAAGACAUCAGGACCACAGAGAGCCUUCACAUCUUCAGACUAAAGACACACCUCUUCAGACUCUACCUCCACUAACACACUAACUAACUGUAGCACUUACAUUGGACUUAUAAUGGUUCUUAUCUACAGCAAGUUGUAAAGCGGCUUAUUAGCGUCAGCUAAUUGACAUGUGAUGUAAUGAAGGUGUGAAGGUGUGGACUCUGCUAUGAAUCAGGCUGAGGACCCAGAGGACGGAGUCCCUCCCUCUGAAGCCCCUCUGUGUGGGGAACAUGACAGCCAGACCAAAGCUCAGAGGAUCCAUCAGAGACCAGGACCUGGACCUGGACCCAGCUGUGUGUCUAUGAAGAGUAACUGGUCUAUGGAGCUUCCUAUAGAAUUCAAAGAUGUUGGUCCCUCUGUUGAUGCAAGGGCCCUUCAGCAGUGUCCAGUGAGGGAGGGAGAGCUCCAUGGAGGACUUGGUGAGACCUGUUGGGACUAAACCAAACUGACUGGUGAAGAAAACAGUGAGCUGAAAGACUGAGGUGUUGAUUCUCAGUGGGACCAGCAGGACCAGUAGACCUGAACCACUACAGGGAGUCAUGUGGUCA
Molecule: long non-coding RNA, 1258 nt
Organism: Gasterosteus aculeatus aculeatus (three-spined stickleback)
Lineage: Eukaryota; Metazoa; Chordata; Actinopteri; Perciformes; Gasterosteidae
Source: Ensembl